AUACGGAGGAUGCGAGCGUUAUCCGGAUUUAUUGGGUUUAAAGGGUGCGUAGGCUGUGCGUUAAGUCAGGGGUGAAAUGCCGUCGCUCAACGACGGAGCUGCCCUUGAUACUGGCGUGCUGGAGUACGGAUGCCGUUGGAGGAAUGAGUGGUGUAGCGGUGAAAUGCUUAGAUAGCACUCAGAACACCGAUUGCGAAGGCAUCUAACGAAUCCGUCAAUGACACUGAGGCACAAAAGCGUGGGGAUAGAACAGUAUUAGAUACCCUGGUAUGCCACGCCGUAAACGAUGAUGACUAACCGUCGGCGAUAGACAGCCGGUGGCCAAGCGAAAGCGAUAAGUCAUCCACCUGGGGAGUACGUCGGCAACGAUGAAACUCAAAUGAAUUGACGGGG
This 393-nucleotide ribosomal RNA is filed under the name uncultured bacterium. RNAcentral's name for it is "partial 16S ribosomal RNA". It matches the Rfam family "Bacterial small subunit ribosomal RNA", at positions 523 to 918 of the family's 1533-position model. The record is from RNAcentral.